Xyrichtys novacula (pearly razorfish) is the source of this 775-nucleotide non-coding RNA. NCBI's taxonomy places the organism in Eukaryota, Metazoa, Chordata, Actinopteri, Labriformes, Labridae. The record is from the annotation of a GenBank genome assembly.
AUUAUAAAAACUUUAAUUUAAAAACUGCAUUUUGUGUUCACUUGUGUUGUCUUUGACUUAUAUUUAAAUUUGUUUGAUCUGAAACAUUGCAGUGUGAAAAACAUGCAAAAACCUAAGGAAUGAGGAAGGGGGCAAACACUUUUUCACACUGCUGUAUAUAUAAAGAGGCAGUGUUACAAUAAUGAAUGACCCCUCACAGAUGCUGAUUGUUUUUUUUGUCCUCUGUUCAGUGAAGGACGAGCGUCCAUGAUUUCCAAAAAGAAUCUAAAAGUUUGACUCCUCAGACCACAGGACCGUUUUUCAUUACCUCUUAUUUUACCUCUUUGGGGGACAAAUAAAGGCAUUGAUUGAUUGAUUGAUUGUACGGUGAUUUGAAAGGCACAUUUUGUUGUGUAUUUUUUAAGUUAUUGUUACUUUUAAAUGAACUUUAUUUCCAUAAAACACUUUUUCUGUUUCAACAUUUGAUAUGUUGUCUUUGCUCUACUAUUUUCAGGUAAAUGUCAAGUUUAAAUCUUCAACAAACCUUCAAAAUUUGCGUGUUAACUUUUGGAUAUUGGGGUUGUACUUGUUGCUGUUAUGGUGACAGCUGGUUUCUCCUCCACCACCUCAUGGGGGGUGACCAGGCCUGUGGCUGUUUGUGGCCCCUCAUGUUGACAUGACAGCAGCUCCCUCUUCUCUGGUUCAAUCCCACCAUACAUCCUAAUGUUACUGUAUGCCAUAACGUUUCUAAUCAAUUAUGGUUAUCAUGAACAAUAAAAAGAUUAUAUGAAUGAAA